CAUACAAGCACACCCACAUAGAGUAGAUGCUCAAUAUUGGAGAUAUUGUUCAAACAAGUGAUAUGUUUUCAUCUAAAAUUCUGUUAAAUUCAUGUGGAGCAAAGCAGAAGUUACACUCCAUAAAAAAUUGGACUUGAUAAAAACGAUCUGUAGGGGGGUCCUGGCCUCGCGCAGCAGGACAGUAAUGCAAUAAGCUGCAUCUUUAAUGCAAUAAGACUCAGGCUGCAGAUAUUGCCUCUCUCAGCCCAGACUGUUAUUUAAGAGCCAGCAAAAAGUAUUUACAUGACUCAAGUUGACCCUUGUGCUAGAGGGGACCGGAAGAACAAACAAACAAGAGAGAAGCAGCGGGGCUUGGGAGGAAGGGAGAAGCCUAUCUUUUCUAGGUGAAUAAACAUUCGCUGACCAUUUGAGAGAGACAAUUCCUGGUCUAUGAGGCGUAGCAUACUGGGACACAUCUACAAUAAGUAAAUAAUUAAAGGACGGAGGACCAGCGGACCAGAGGGCCUAAUGGAGCCAGAGGUUUGUCUGGGGACUUUUGUGAGGCAGUCACCGGUGAUAUCGACUGACAACUAGCCAUCUAUUUGAGGAUAAUAAGGCCCACUUAUGCCAGAGCAGAUAAUGUAGAUGUCGACAACAAGCAGAAGUAGUCAUCUGACAACUGGAGAAGCAGGCUGAGUGUGAUGCUUUAUAAUAACUUGCUUUUAUCUUUAGCAGUACAGCAUGUAGUGUCAGCAACAGACAAAAAAAUAAUAAUCUUGCUUGUCUGUAGGUUCAAAGUACUUGAGGUGAAUUUGACUGAGAAUGUAACAAACUGACACAUGAAUUGUGUGAUUAGAUAAAACAGGAAGACUUAUCUAAAUGUAUCUAAUUCUGAUGCAAUUAGGUUUUACUAGGUCUGACAGUUGUUGACAGUUUAAGGCCAUUGAGUGAUGAGAAUCUGGGGCACAGAACCCAUCCAUAUAAGUAGUUCAUUAAUGUAACAGACUUUCUUUAAGUUACAGGGAUGUCAGUAGUAAAGGUGUACAAAAGAAUAUAGUCUAGGAUACCACUUUUUCCUAUGAAUGUACAACUUAAAAUGACCAAGGCAUUACAAACUAAGAAGAUUGAUGACUGCAGAGUUUGUGGGCUGUGAGAGUCUGUAUGUGUGUGCUGGCAUGCCAUGGGACACAACUUUGUCCAGAGUAAGGUGCCUGUUCCCUGUGCUGCCAGCAAG
Molecule: long non-coding RNA, 1213 nt
Organism: Siniperca chuatsi (mandarin fish)
Lineage: Eukaryota; Metazoa; Chordata; Actinopteri; Centrarchiformes; Sinipercidae
Exons: 2
Source: RefSeq, a predicted model, not a curated record